GCGAACGUGUGCAACCGGUAGCCGCACCUGUUUCAAAACGCAGGUCCUUGACGUGCGAGUUCGACCCUCGCCGUUCGCACCA
This 82-nucleotide transfer RNA is filed under the name Rhodocyclaceae bacterium. RNAcentral describes it as "tRNA-OTHER". Lineage: Bacteria; Pseudomonadati; Pseudomonadota; Betaproteobacteria; Rhodocyclales; Rhodocyclaceae. The record is from RNAcentral.